UGGCGGCGUGCCUAAUACAUGCAAGUCGAACGGAGGUCAUUGAUUCGGUUGAUGACUUAGUGGCGGACGGGUGAGUAACGCGUGAGCAACCUGCCCUUGUGAGUGGAAUAACAACUGGAAACGGGUGCUAAUACCGCAUAACGUACCGGGUAAGCAUUUACCUGAUACCAAAGGAGAAAUCCGCACAAGGAUGGGCUCGCGUCCGAUUAGUCUGUUGGUGAGGUAACGGCUCACCAAAACUGCGAUCGGUAGCCGGACUGAGAGGUUGAACGGCCACAUUGGAACUGAGAGACGGUCCAGACUCCUACGGGAGGCAGCAGUAGGGAAUAUUGGGCAAUGGGCGAAAGCCUGAACCCCAGCAACGCCGCGUGAAGGAAGAAGGUCUUCGGAUUGUAAACUUUAGUAAGCAGGGAAGAAGAAGAUGACGGUACCUGCAGAGUAAGCCACGGCUAACUACGUGCCAGCAGCCGC
RNAcentral lists this ribosomal RNA (471 nucleotides) under uncultured bacterium. RNAcentral describes it as "bacterial SSU rRNA". It matches the Rfam family "Bacterial small subunit ribosomal RNA", at positions 37 to 518 of the family's 1533-position model. The record is from RNAcentral.